AUUUGGACAUUACUGUGCAAAAGCCAGACAAGCAAAGCAGGUGCUGUCAAGUUUGCUAAUCUUUUACUUAUAUGUUUGUUUGUUUGUUUGUUUGUUUACUUGCCUUGGACAAAAUAAACUAAAUAAUGCAUCUAUUUAACUUAAUUUUUUUAGCAUUACAGAAGCAAUCCACAAACUCAAAGAAGCAAUAGAUCCUACAACUAUUUUCAGUGUCUGCGUCACAAGGGAGGACAUGUUUAAUCGAGGCUUGAUGCAAUGGAAACGUCAGAAGAAGUCUUCUCCAAAGAAUCCCCUCAGAGUAACAUUCAUUGGAGAGCCUGGGAUAGACAGUGGUGCCCUUAUGAAAGAAUUCUUGACAGAAAUGAUGGCUGGGAUUGAGGCAAAAUUCUUUGAGGGAGGCAAUUCUGGGAAAAAUCUGAAGUAUUCUACCACAGAUUUUCAGAACGACAAUUAUAGGACAAUUGGUGAAAUCAUGGCUGUAAGCAUUACACAAGAUGGCCCUCCCCCUAACUUUUUUCAGGAGUGGAUCUACAAUUUCAUCUCUUCUGGGGACAUUGAUAAAGAUCAGUUGUCAAAGGCUACAGUUACAGAUGCAGAUCUGCUAGACCUCAUCGAAAAGAUUGAGACAGCGGACGCUACAGCUCUUCUUGACCUUUUAGAAAGAAUCCUCGGAUGUGGGUACACUGGACCUCUAACAUGUGAAAGAAAGGAGGACAUUCUAAGGUAAAUAUGAUUCUACAAUGUUUUUCACGUUUUUUUUUUCAAACGUUUGGGGUCAGUAGGAUUUUUAAAUGUUUUAAAAUAAGCUUCUCCUGCUCACCAAGUCUGCAUUUAUUUAAUCAAAAAUACAGAACAAAUGGUAAA
This is a long non-coding RNA of Danio rerio (zebrafish), 864 nucleotides long. Lineage: Eukaryota; Metazoa; Chordata; Actinopteri; Cypriniformes; Danionidae. The record is from Ensembl.